Long non-coding RNA from Brassica rapa (field mustard), 6258 nucleotides. RefSeq lists it as uncharacterized. The record is from RefSeq and is a predicted model, not a curated record. Lineage: Eukaryota; Viridiplantae; Streptophyta; Magnoliopsida; Brassicales; Brassicaceae.
AUCUGACACGAUUCUCCCAUAAACCAGCAACUCACAGAAAGAAAGAAAAAAGAGAAACUUUCUUUACAUUAUUUUAAUUUUUUUUGCCUUCCCUUUCCCGCGGCUUGGUGUUCUUAUUAUACGGUGAAGGAGGAGAGGAAAAGAUGGGUGAACUGUAACUCUCGGCGUAUGUUAGCCACGUGCCGCACCUUUCUGUUAAUUUUUUGAAACACCGAAUGGCUAAUAUGCGCGUAUGUGUUAUCAUCUUUUUGUUACUUUCUUUUUAACCACGUGAUGGUAAAUUAAUACUAACAACGUCUCCUCUAAUCUAUCACCCAAAGUUCUCGGAGCGAAAGUGAAAAUAAUAAAUUUACUGUUUCGAGUUUUAAGCCGAUUCUCUGAUUCUAAAGAUUCGUAAACGUUAGAUUGUAUCGUAAUUUAAAGAUUCUUGUCAAAAAAAAAUGAUAUGAUUCCAUCUUUAAUCUUUGUAAAAAAAAAAAUUAAUCUUUGUAAGAACCAUUGUGAAAGAGAUUCACGAUUUGUAUAUAUUCUGUCGAAUAUUAUAAGAUAUAGAAUGUGCCAUAAAUCGUUCUAGAAUAUUUACUUUUUUCAUAAUUUAAGCACCAAAAGGAAUAAUAUAUAGUUAUUUCCAUUUAAUAUCGAGAAAAAGAACAACUGAAAAUGUUUUUUUUUUAACGAGCGCCACUAUGGAAUAUGGUACCGUAUCAAAUUAUUGUGUAAUGUUUGUUUUCCUUAUAUAACAAAAAUCACACGAGAGUGAGAAAAACGCUGAAUAUAAUAUGGAAUUUCUAGUAAAACCUCCAAAACUUAAUAAUUUAUCAAAAGAGACCCCCAAGGCCCCAAGUGCAGAAACAAUAGUAAUGGCCAAAAAUGGGUGAUAUUUGUCUUUACAUAUUGAACGUUGAUCGUGUAUUUAAUAAUGCAAUUAAACCCAGUGUAGUUAAGAAAACAUAAUGGUGUUACAACGUACAGAUCAACAGUUUCGUCUGAAGAUUCUCUAAAUGUAAUUAUAGAAUUAACUACAAUCAAGAUUCAAUAAUGAAGGAAGGCUAUAUAACGCUUACGGAGUUACAGUAGUAACAGUAACAGAGGAGGAAUGUACUCUUCCUUACGUACUAUUGACCGUACCAUCACAUCUCUUUCCUAAUAUUCCCAUUCAAAGUUAUGAUAUAUCUUUAUAAAAAGGGUAUAUUAUUAUUCUUUUAUAUUCUUACUCUAUUAUUGGUACAUAGACCGUAUUAUAAAUAAAGGAAUUCAUGAGAUUUGAAACCCCCUGCAUUUUUCUUGUUCUUUAACAACUGAAACUAUAAAAUUUAGUUGUGUGAGUUUUAUACAUAUCAUCUGUGUUCACUUUUUCUUCCAAAAACUGGUUUCUUUUAACAGAUACUAUUAUUCCCUAGCGAUGAUUGGACUGAUAUUCUUUGAGGACCCAAAAUCAUAUUUUCGUAGUAAAUACUAAUGUUCAAAAAAAUCGCUAGACGGUAAUUAGACGUUUUAAAGAGAACUAGCGCUUGAGAAGACACUUAAAUGUUGCUUAUACCGAUUUUUUAUCCUUUUAAAAAACAAUGUUUCGCUUAUCAUUGAUUAUUAUCGCCUAGUCAAGCUCCAUUUGUAAAACGUUGGUAUAUACAGUGAUUACUUGAACAGAACGGUACAUUAUCAUGAUUGAAAAUGCAUAUUGGUGAAUGGGGAUGGUGUUGAACAGUUUUAGUUAAGAAUAUUAAUCUUAAGAUGUAUAUAUGUUGUUCGAAAAAAUGUAUAUAUAAAACAUAUAACAAACUAUUAGAUUGCUUCAUUUCAACAAUAUAAAACACGUGGGAUUGAAACAAUACAAAAAUUGCCGACAAAAUUUAAAGAAUCACGGGAAAAAAAUUAGUCAAAAUCUUAACAAGAUUUAAAUGGGUUUUGAGACAUUGAGAAGAAAAAACAAGUAGCAAGUAGUAGUAACUAGAGUUAGAGAGUGGCCAGAGGCAUGGGUUAAGAAAAAAGCCAAAAGGGAACAAGUAGCGGCCAACCGAAUUAAAUGGAGGACUUGGGGUUUUAGAUGCAAGAGUCACAUGGUUUGGCAAAGCCUCGUGCUGCUGCAUCAGCCGGGUCUAGGAAUCUGCUGCGGCCGAACCUACUUUUCUCUUACCGUGUUCCUUCGCCUCCUCUGAUUUAUUCACCCCACGUUUUGUGUACUCUCCCCACUUGAUCAUCUCCAAGUUGAUAAUGUCUUAAUUUUAAAGAUUCGUUAUUAUUUCAAAAUAAUUACAUGUACUCUUACAAGCUGCAUCUCUUAGAUAACGUGCAUUAUUAGAGUAAAAGCACUAAUCUACAUGACUACAUCAUCAGUUUCGUAGUGUAUAUUUUUUUUUUUUGAAUUCAGUAAGAGUUGGACAGAAAACCAUAUUUUUUUUGGGCUACCGACAAGAACUGGUUGCUAAAAAAUUAUCUCUUGCACCCACUGAGACUGGAAACUAACAAUUACAACUAUAUUAUUAAAACAUAAGUACGUUUUCGUACUGUUUAAAAAUAUAGAUAGCAGUAUAAAUGAAAAUUGUUUGAAAACGUUGAUAGCAUUAUAAAAAAGAAAUAUAGUGUCAUUUUAGUAAUUUUAUUAAUAUAAUUACAUUAAUUAUUUUUCUACAUUUUAUUCAGUUUAACAAUUUUAUUAAUUAUAUUAUCUUAACAAUACAUCACAUCAUUAAUUAUAUUAUCAUAAUAAUAAUAUAUAGUGCAAUUUUUUAUUUAAUAGUUAAUCAAUAUUAAUUUUGUGCCAAUUAUAAAAUCAAAUAUCUAAAAUAAAUGGGCUUUGUAUAUGGUUAAACGUUCAGUUUAGUUUUUUACUAAAAGUUUUUUUAGUUUCAAUCAGUGAAAAAUUAUGUAGCCAAAAAUAUAAUUAUUUUACUAAAUAAAAAAAAUCAAUUUCAAUUAGUUAAGCCAAACACAUCAAAAAAGUUCUUUUAUUAAUUUAUAAAAUCAGUUAGACAUGAACUUUGACUAUCCAUUUAGGUAGGAGUGGUUCUUUUCGGGUAUCGUUUUUUUUUUAAAUAGGCCCCCUUUGAAUAUUAUAAAUUUAUAUGUGAGUUUUAUGUGGGUCCUUCUGGGUCUGGAUGAGUUCAGUUCUGAUGUAUUAGAACCUAAAAAUAUAUAAAUAACAAAUGUAGAUGAAAAGGAUUCGGAUAUGUGUACCAAAAAUAACCAUAUUACUCUAUUUGGUCCAAGUCUUUUUAAUACAAUUAGUUAUAUUACGAUUCAUCUUAAAUAUAUAACACUGGUUAAAAAACAAAUAUCGAUGUAUAAAAAUGUAAAAACCAAUAUCCGCACGGGUGCGCGAAUCAAUCUCUAGUCUAUUUUAUUAAAACUGAAGUAUCUUUUAAAAUUGUUUGAAAACAUGAAUAGCAGUAUAAAUGAGAAUUAUUUAAAAAAUGAUAGUAUUAUAAAAAAGAAGUAUAGUGUCCUUUUAGUAAUUUUAUUAAUAUAAUUACAUUAAUUAUAUUUCCAUAUUUCACUCAUUUUAACAAUUUCAUUAAUUAUAUUACCUUAACAAUAUAUCACAUCAUUAAUUAUAUUAUCAUGAUAAUAAUAAUGCAAGUUUUUAAUUAUUAGUUAAUCAACAUUAACUUUGUGUCAAUUAUAAAAAAAAUGUAAAAUAAUUGAGUUUUUCAUAUGGUUAAACGUUUGGUUUAUUUUUUUUUUUACUUUUUUUUUCAUUUUAGUUACAAUCGCUGGAAAAUUAAGUAGCCAAAGAACAUAAUUCAAAUAAUUAUUUUUGUAAAUAAUAUAAUAAAUUAAAUCAAAAUAAUAAAAAUGUAUUACAUUUAUUGUCACUUAAGUUUUCACUCCACAUAAUUACAUAGCUAAAAACAGAAUUCAAAUAAUUGCUUUUGUGAAUAAUAUAAUAAUUUAAAUAAAAAUAAUAAAAAUGUGUUACAUUUAUUGUCACUUAAGUUUUCACUCCACAUAGAAAAUAUUUUUGUUUAAAUUUCUUAUAACUAUGUAUAUAUAAAUUAUAUUUAUAUACAUGUAAUUAUAAUAUCUAAUUAAAAAAAACAAAAGUAUUAUAUUUAUUCAACCGCAACCAUAAACACCAGAAGAAACUAUUUUGUAAUUUUGAGAUAUUUGGAAAAGUACAAAAUAAUUUAUCAUAUUUUUUAUCAUUGUAAAACGUCAAAUGUUUUCUAUUACUCACAAAUGCAGCGUUUGCGGUUGAUAGCGGGAGAACCAAUUAAACUAUAAGUCUUUUCUAGAUUUAUAUUUUUCAUACUGAAUUUAAAAAAAAAUUAUGUUUAUAUGUGGAUAAAUAACGGAUUGGAUAUUUAGCAGAUUGGCAGAUUUUGAUCAGAUAUAAUUUUUAGAAAGGGCUUUUAAAAAAAAUUAUCAGAUAUUUUUCCUAUUAAAUCAAAUACCAAAACUAAAAGAUUGUACUCAUAAAGAUCAGAACCGAUGACAGAUAUCUGCCAAAUUCAAGAUCCCUUGGAAUUCAAAGGCACCCAGCCCAACUGCCCAACCCUAACUAAAUGGGUGGUGCAUCUAUAUAUGUCAGGAUUGUAUUGAAUCCUUUAUUACUUUUACUAUUUAGACAUAUUUAUAUUGGCCAGCAUUGCCGCAAUUCAAUACUGUAACUGCACAUGGUUAAUAAUAUCGAUUAUGAUUGGCUUUUAUUAUAAAGAAUAAUUUUUAUUAAAAAAAAAUAUUAAGAUUAACGGGGAAAUGAAACUGUAGAAAACCGUAGUAACUAAUAUGCUACUUGUAAAAACCAUGUUUGUGUAUGUUCGAGGUCGUUUGUCAAACAAAAAAAUGUUAGAGGUAGGUCGUUGGUCGAGAAUAUUACAACAGAAGGCAGUUUCAAGUUUUAAUUAACACCAAAAGGCAGUUCUUUAUACCCAGGCAGUUUUUAUUAACUAAACCCUUUAAGUGUAACUAAACUCUCCAGCCGCUCAUCUCGACCCCUUUUUAAACGGUGCAGAUCGUCCCCUUUUUUUUUUUUCUGAUUUGACUUAUAUCUAACCCUUAACUUAACCAUUGGAUUAUAUUUUCACUUUCUUAAUCGACGGCUUAGAUUAAACACUCAUUUAAAAACCAAAUCUUAAAUAUAUAUUUUUUUUCUCUAUUCACGUUUCUCAAACAACCGCCGUCUCCGUCCUCAUUCUGGUGUGACAGCAAAAGUAACAUGUCGCAACAACACAACUGACCGCCUUCUCCGUUAGCCAAUAUAGCUAACUUCCACUUUCUACUUGUCACAGGGUUACUCAUGGCUGUACAUACACAAUUUAUGUAAAUAUCCACAUCAUCUAAAUUAUGUACACAUUCAUGUGAUCAUCCAGUGUACCCGUGUACACUAACAUUAUGUACACAUCCACGUCAUUUAAAUUAUGUACACAUCCAUGUGAUCAUCCAGUGUACUCGUGUACACUAACAUUAUGUACACAUCCAUGUGAUCAUCCAGUGUACUCGUGUACACUAACAUUAUGUACACAUCCACGUUAUUUAAAUUUUUUUUAAUUUUUUUUUUAAUUAAUGGCAAUUUUGUAAUAAUUUCAUUUUCUUCAUAUAAGGGUUUCUGCGUUUCCUGCAAAUAUUUCUCAAAGCCACCAUUGAUUUUUCAUCAUGCAAUCUUCAUUAUUUUUGGGUUUUUACUUUCAAAACUUACAAAUAUUAUAUAUCUUAACCGAUUAGAACCCAAAAUAAAAAAAAAAAUUUAAUUUUCGAAUUUGGACAAAUUAUGAGAGCAUUACAUGUAGACAUACUUUGGGCUGGGUAUAUAACACUUUAAGGUACUUUAUGCUGGUGGUGUACUUUUGGCCUUCUGUGUUGAGUUGAGAUUUCCAUCAUACCCCUGUGAGUAUUAAUAGUUACGACCAAGUUUAUAAAAGGUAAACACUAGUUAGAGUUCUCUUGUUGCAAUUAAUUGGUAACUUUAUUGAGUGGUGGACUUUCGUAAUAGCCGUUGGAUUAAAGAUAAUAAAGAGAAAUCUGAGGGCUGAGGUUUGGUGUGGUCAAGAGAGGUAGUGAUGUGGGCAGAGUUAGAAGUGUUGAGGUCAUGGCUAGAGAGUGUGUGGUCGUGGCCAGAGAUCGUGUGGUCAUGGUUAGAAACCGUGUGGUUAAAGUUACGUAGAACAUUCCUAAGGAGAUAGAGGAUGUUGGGUCUGAAGUAGAUCUUCUAUUGUUUCCUUGGAUACCUGUUAGUGAUGAAGAGCCGUUCAAGUAGAUGUGAGAUUUAAGAACAGUUAGAUUUAGAAUUUGAGACAUCAAAAGUAGAGAAAAAUACAAAAA